UACGGAGGGUGCAAGCGUUAUCCGGAAUUAUUGGGUUUAAAGGGUCCGUAGGCGGUUUAAUAAGUCAGUGGUGAAACCCUAUAGCUUAACUAUAGACGUGCCAUUGAUACUGUUAGACUUGAGUUAUGUUGAAGCAAAUAGAAUGUGUAGAGUAGCGGUGAAAUGCAUAGAUAUUACACAGAAUACCGAUUGCGAAAGCAGUUUGCUAAGCAUAUACUGACGCUGAUGGACGAAAGCGUGGGUAGCGAACAGGAUUAGAUACCCUGGUAGUCCACGCUGUAAACGAUGGACACUAGCUGUUGAGAAAUUUUCAGUGGCUAAGCGAAAGCGAUAAGUGUCCCACCUGGGGAGUACGAUCGCAAGAUUG
This 367-nucleotide ribosomal RNA is filed under the name uncultured prokaryote. RNAcentral describes it as "bacterial SSU rRNA". It matches the Rfam family "Bacterial small subunit ribosomal RNA", at positions 524 to 896 of the family's 1533-position model. The record is from RNAcentral.